GAUGACGAUCCUGCCCCCCACGGAGAAGCUGAAGAUCCUCCUGGAAAAGCUCAGUGCCUUCUACACCAAGUUCGUCAAGGAAUUCUCGUAACGAGGGCGCGGCGCUAAUUAACGUCAUCCCCGAUGUCACCUCCCCAUUCCGGGAGUAUCCAGCACUUUUUAUUCUUUGGGAAUUCCAGUUCCUCCAAAUUUUGGGAAUUCCAGCUCCUCCAACCCUUGGGAAUUCCAGUUUCUCCAAUCCUUGGGAAUUACAGAUCUUUUAAUAUUUGGGAAUUCCAGCUCCUCCAAAUUUUGGGAAUUCCAGCUCAAAUCCUUGGGAAUUCUAGUUCCUCCUAUCCUUGGGAAUUCCAGCUCCUCCAACCCUUGGGAAUUCCAGUUUCUCCAAUCCUUGGGAAUUACAGAUCUUUUAAUAUUUGGGAAUUCCAGCUCCUCCAAAUUUUGGGAAUUCCAGCUCAAAUCCUUGGGAAUUCUAGUUCCUCCUAUCCUUGGGAAUUCCAGCUCCUCCAACCCUUGGGAAUUCCAGUUUCUCCAAUCCUUGGGAAUUACAGAUCUUUUAAUAUUUGGGAAUUCCAGCUCCUCCAAAUUUUGGGAAUUCCAGCUCAAAUCCUUGGGAAUUCUAGUUCCUCCUAUCCUUGGGAAUUCCAGCUCCUCCAACCCUUGGGAAUUCCAGUUUCUCCAAUCCUUGGGAAUUACAGAUCUUUUAAUAUUUGGGAAUUCCAGCUCCUCCAAAUUUUGGGAAUUCCAGCUCAAAUCCUUGGGAAUUCUAGUUCCUCCUAUCCUUGGGAAUUCCAGCUCCUCCAACCCUUGGGAAUUCCAGUUUCUCCAAUCCUUGGGAGUUCACUUGGGAAUUUUGGGGUCCCAACAUCCCGAAUCCAGCACUCAACUCCGAUACACAACAUCCUGAAAUCUCAAAAUCCCGACAUCCCAGCAUCCCAAAAUUCCCAACAUCCCACAACCCAAAAUUCAAAAUUCCCAACAUUCCAAAAUCCUGACAUUUAACAUCCCAAAAUCCAAGAAUCAACACCAAAAAUCCCAACAAUCCCUACAUCCCAAGUUCCCAAUAUCCCAAAAUCCCAAAAUCUCAGCAGUCCAAAAUCCCAGUACCCCAACACCCCAAAACCCCUGUAUCUCCAAAUCCCAACAUCCCAAAACCCCAAAAUCCCCAAAUCCUGAAAUUUCCAACAUUCAACAUCUCAAAAUCCAAGAGUCAACACCCAAAAUCCCAACAGGCAACGUCCCCAAAUCCCCAAAUCACAACACCAAACUCGCAACCCCC
RNAcentral lists this long non-coding RNA (1276 nucleotides) under Ficedula albicollis (Collared flycatcher). RNAcentral's name for it is "lncRNA (ENSFALG00000028729.1)". Lineage: Eukaryota; Metazoa; Chordata; Aves; Passeriformes; Muscicapidae. The record is from RNAcentral.